GCGGACGGGUGAGUAUGUAUGGGGAUCUGCCUGAUGAGGGGGGAUACUACUGGAAACGUGUAGCUAAUACGGCAUAUGUCGCAAGACAAAGAGGGGAACUUCGGGCCCUCUUACCAUCAGAUGAACCAUAUGGGAUUAGCUUGUAGGUGAGGUAAUGGCUCACCUAGGCGACGAUCUCUAGCUGGUCUGAGAGGAUGUCCAGUCACACUGGAACUGAGACACGGUCCAGACUCCUACGGGAGGCAGCAGUGGGGAAUAUUGCACAAUGGGGGAAACCCUGAUGCAGCCAUGCCGCGUGUGUGAAGAAGGCCUUAGGGUUGUAAAGCACUUUCAGUCGGGAGGAAGGUGGAGUAAUUAAUACUUGCUCCAAUUGACGUUACCGACAGAAGAAGCACCGGCUAACUCCGUGCCAGCAGCCGCGGUAAUACGGAGGGUGCAAACGUUAAUCGGAAUUACUGGGCGUAAAGCGCACGCAGGCGGUUGAUUAAGUUAGAUGUGAAAUCCCCGGGCUUAACCUGGGAACUGCAUUUAAAACUGGUCAGCUAGAGUCUCGUAGAGGGGGGUAGAAUUCCACGUGUAGCGGUGAAAUGCGUAGAGAUGUGGAGGAAUACCGGUGGCGAAGGCGGCCCCCUGGACGAAGACUGACGCUCAGGUGCGAAAGCGUGGGGAGCAAACAAGAUUAGAUACCCUGGUAGUCCACGCUGUAAACGAUGUCAACUUGGAGUUUGCGGCCUUGAGCUGUG
Molecule: ribosomal RNA, 743 nt
Filed under: uncultured bacterium
Lineage: Bacteria
Description: bacterial SSU rRNA
Rfam family: Bacterial small subunit ribosomal RNA
Source: RNAcentral